GCCUUAGGGGUGGAAAGGAUUUUAAACCUUUUUUCAAAACUUUAAAGGGGAAAAAACCUAAAUUUUUGAAUAAGGAAUUUAAGGUUUAUGAUAAAAUAGCCCAGGGGGCCACUUUGGGAAGGCAGAACCGACGCUGGGUAAGAACCAAAAGGUAAUGUUACGUGCCCCAAAUUACCAAUACAUACAGAAACCAUGAAAGGCGUUUGUUGCUUAAAACAGCAGGACGGUGAUCAUGGAAGUAAAAAUCAGUUAAGGAGUGGGUAACAACUCACCGGCCGAAGCAACUAGCCCUUAAAAUGGAUGGCGCUUAAGUUGUAUACCUAUACAUUACCGCUAAAGUAGAUGGUUUAUAUUACUUGUAAUAUAGAUUUUGAAACUUUAGUGAGUAGGAAGGUACAAUGGUGUGCAUAGAAGUGUUUGGCGUAAGCCUGCAUGGAGCCGCUAUUGGUACAGAUCUUGGAAGUAGUAGCAAAUAAUCGAAUGAGACCUUGGAGGACUGAAGUGGAGAAGGGUUUCGUGUGAACAGUGGUUGAUCACGAGUUAGUCGGUCCUAAGUUCAAGGCGAAAGCCGAAAAUUUUCAAGUAAAGAAAAAUCUAAAUAUAUUUGUCAUCUAACCGAUUUUUAUACACUUGAAUAAUUUUGAACGAAAGGGAAUACGGUUCCAAUUCCGUAACCUGUUGAGUAUCCGUUUGUUAUUAAAUAUGGGCCUCGUGCUCAUCCUGGCAACAGGAACGACCAUAAAGAAGCCGUCGAGAGGUAUCGGAAGAGUUUUCUUUUCUGUUUUAUAGCCGUACUACCAUGGAAGUCUUUCGCAGAGAGAUAUGGUAGAUGGGCUAGAAGAGCAUGACAUAUACUGUUGUGUCGAUAUUUUCUCCUCGGACCUUGAAAAUUUAUGGUGGGGACACGCAAACUUCUCAACAGGCCGUACCAAUAUCCGCAGCUGGUCUCCAAGGUGAAGAGUCUCUAGUCGAUAGAAUAAUGUAGGUAAGGGAAGUCGGCAAAUUAGAUCCGUAACUUCGGGAUAAGGAUUGGCUCUGAAGAUUGAGAUAGUCGGGCUUGAUUGGGAAAGAACAAUCGGGUUUACCUGCUCCUGGUGGGCCAACACCGCUACUACCAGUUCUAGCACUGUCGUGCUCCGCCCACGAUAUCUCUAGCCAACCAGCCCUGGGCCUGUUUUGCGAGGCUCAUCCAGAAUACCAUUAU
Molecule: non-coding RNA, 1204 nt
Filed under: Drosophila virilis
Lineage: Eukaryota; Metazoa; Arthropoda; Insecta; Diptera; Drosophilidae
Description: Eukaryotic large subunit ribosomal RNA
Rfam family: Eukaryotic large subunit ribosomal RNA
Source: Rfam by way of RNAcentral